Molecule: long non-coding RNA, 3164 nt
Filed under: Cairina moschata (Muscovy duck)
Lineage: Eukaryota; Metazoa; Chordata; Aves; Anseriformes; Anatidae
Description: domestica (muscovy Duck (domestic type)) lncRNA (ENSCMMG00000011908.1)
Source: RNAcentral
AUGCACGGCUCUCCCCCCUGCCUCCCUGGGAGCCCCAGGAGUGCAGCAAAAAUCCUCCGGGGUUUGCCAGGCUUCUCAGCAGCAUGCUUCAGCCAGGGCAUCCUGCAUGCUCUCUUCUGCAGAACUCUCUUCGUCGGCACCCUGACCCCUUUGCAAUGUGCUCUUCUUGUUUGGCUGUGGUGCAGUGGCCUGAAUUCACCUUUAGGAUGGGAUCUCGAGCAGCAGCCAGCCCUGCCUUUGCCUGAUGAGCCCUGGGGCUGCCAGGAGCUGCUGGCCCUGCGGGGUGAGGCCCUCCCCUCCCGGCGGUACAGAGGAAGUCACCCUGAUGAGAGCUGCUGGCUCAGGUGCUUAAUAGUGCCCCCACUUCGUCUGUCUCAGGGGUUUUCAUGGUACGGCGCCAGCUGGAGGGGGGAGGAGGGAGGAAACAGAGGCCUGGGGGCUGUGGGAUUUGGGGAUGUGGCCCCAGAGCAGGCUGAGAGCGAGCAGGGAGGGGAGGAUGGCCACCAGCACCUGGGUGCCAUCAGGGUGGGCUCUGCUCCACAUCCCUCCCCGCUGGGGGGACAAAAGGCAGCCCCAGUGGGGCAGUGGGACCUCUCCUGCCCCGUGCUGGGGGAUACUUUAGUGAGGCUGCUGCUCAUCCUCCCCAUCCCACCGACAGCGCCGUAGUGGUCCAGGGGCUGCCCCCGGCCCCGGCUGCUUGCGUCUUGCAGGGAAAGCAGCCGGCGGUGUGGGACAGGGAGCGGUGCAGCCAGGGCCCUGCUGAUGACCUGGUUUGAAAUGAGGAUACUGCAUCUUUCAGGAUCUCCCAUGUACUUUUGACCGUUUUCACUGUAUACUCUCCAGUGACUUGUAUUUUCAAGCUUGGUGUUGUAAGAUGCGUUUAUCAUGACUCUUCUGUUACCCUUUUCUAAAGACAAAAAAGAAAAAAGAAAAAAAAAAAAAAGAAAGAAAAAAAAAGGCGACCUAUUUUGAGAGCUCCUACAUUAACCAGACUAAUUUCUCUUCCCCACUGCUCCUUGCAGUAUCAUUGCUUGUUGACUUGCUGGUUUCCUUUUUCUGAGAUACAAACUGAAGUUUGAGGUUUUUGAAACUAUUUAAGAGAUUGAGGAAAAAAAAAAUGUUUACCUGAUCUGUGUAUUCUGGUUUUUCUUAACCCCCUCGCCACUCUCUCAGCCAAUAUUAGCGUUUACAUUUGCAACUACAGCCUCCUUCAAAUGCAGUUUUCAACCAUUCUGAAACCAGCAGGGUACACUAGAUUUCUUAGUAGUUUUCUUAGCUAAUAUCCCAGAUGUUUUCCUUUUUCUUCAGUAUAAUUUACCAGAGAGAAUUAACUGAUGCAUUUUUUUUUGUGUUGUCUUCCCCUUCAGUAGUUAUAUUUUGUCUUUUCUGCACAUCUGUCUACUAAUAAAAAAAAAUGUGAAAUGAAAAUAUCCCUGUACUGUUAUGUCCCUGGUAAUGGAGCUGUUUUAUUUGCCUGGGUUGUUUGGAGUUGAAUAAUACCUCCUGAGCUGUUCUGUGGUGGUCUCUAGUGUCGUGGACAGCUGUAGGUACAGGAAAACCAGUGCCACCCAUGCAGUAAGGUGAAGGAGGCAAGGCUGUGCCACUGGUGGAAGGUGGUGGGGGUGAGCCCAGGCUGAGAGCAAGGCCUGGUGCUGCAGGGCCUGGCAAAAGUGUGGCUCUAAGGAAGGAAAAGUGGUUAUCAUAGGAAAAAGUGGUUUUUGUUUUUUGUUUUUUUUUUUUUCUUCCUUGUUUGUCUUCAACCAUAGCCAGGGCAGCAGUGCAAAAACACUCCGUGGCCAAAUACAGCUUUCGCAGUCACUGCCUGCGCUGCUGCCAGGAACCGUGCCAGGCGCUGAAGGACGAGCAGGGGGCAGGAGCUGUCCCUCGGGAGCCCUCAGCCCUGACCUUGCAGUGCUCGCACACAGCAGCAGCUCUGCCUCACGGGCAAAGCACGGGGCAAAGCUGUGCCCCCUCCUGACCCACCCCAUGCCACAGAUCCCUCUCUCACCCACCCUCACUGCAUUAUUCAGUGCCUCCCGCUGUGAGCUUUGCUCCCUUCACUGCAGGGGGAAAAGGACAGGCUGUAAAAGCAGAACUGCUCCUGGAGCCUUUGAAAAUGCAGACAAACACCAGUGAUAUGCUCAGACCUUUAUUACGUGGAGGAAGGGCUAAAAAGAAAUGAAACUCCUAAAACAUUCACCGUACUGGUGGAGGACGAGAAGAACCAGGCGUUGCCACCCUGGUCUUGGUUUUAAGAAAAGGGGGGGAGGGACAGGUGAAGUUUCCAUCCGUCAGCUCUGGCAAUCCUGGGCAGGGUGGCUCAGGGCAAAAAGAGGUACAAGACACAGCUUAUAUUUUUAUUUAAACCGCUACACAGUUUGUUUUUUUUUUGCCUCUAAUGAUGCAAAAGGAGGUUCCAGGACACACUGAGCCAUCCACAGUCUUCUUUGAGAAACAAAACCAAAACAAAAAAACCCUGUCUGGAUUUUUAUUUAUUAUUUAUUUAAAAAUUGGAAAAUAAAAAGGUGAGGCUGCAGCUUAGGGCCACACUGACCAAACUGCCCACGAGUUCAUCAUCCACAGCAGGAGGGAGAGGGGGAGAUGAAAGAAAGGGGAAGGCCCACAAAACAUUAUUUUUUCAUUUUUUUUCCUUUAAAGUAACAGCUAUACUGGUGGUGGGGGCAGAAAUCAAACCAUCGGGACAUCUUGAUUCUUUUUUGGGGGGGCUAGGCCUUCUUCUUUGCCUGAAUUCAGAACUGCGUUAAAUAAAUGGGUUCUAGCUCCAAAAAAAAAUGACGCAGUUUGUCAUUGACAGAGUUAUAAAGCCCAUAGAGCUUAAAAAAGGAAGGAUGCCCGGGUACAGAUGGGAAAUGAAUAAUUAGUUUUCCUACAAAGAAAAUAAAACAGGCUGCAAGAUGCAGAAAACCACAUUUAGGCUCUAUUACAUUUACAAAUACAUACAUAAAUAUAUUACAUACAACAGCAACUCAAAGAGGAAGCGGGCGAGUCACACAGAGGAUGGCUGGCUGGCUGCAGUUCUCCCCGCACAGACGUUUGGCUGAGCAGUUACUUCUCCUAAUAAUUCCAGGAAUGGGCUUCGGCUUUUCUGUUUUUCUUUAUUUCUUUUUUUUUUUUUUUUUUCUCUCCUCUCUUUUCAUUCUCUC